This is a long non-coding RNA of Homo sapiens (human), 276 nucleotides long. The record is from Ensembl. NCBI's taxonomy places the organism in Eukaryota, Metazoa, Chordata, Mammalia, Primates, Hominidae.
GUGCGUUGCCGGUGGGCGCUUUAGGAAAUUGGUAGGAGGAAAAGCGGCUUCUUUUGAAAAGAAUUCUCUUAGGAAUCUCUGGCUUCAUUGAGGACACAGGUGUAAGCAGAAGCUGUGUUCUCAGCUCCAAGAGGCCGACCCCACGAAAGCCUAAGCAGGUGAAUUUCGUAAAGACGUUGACAGUUGGAAAACCUGUGCUUUCAGCACGUGAUAAAUCUGCAGAGUCAGCAGACAAUGAAGAUUUGGCAUUCAAGAACUCCUCAAAUACUUCUCGAU